UAUCCGUAGGUGAACCUGCGGAGGGAUCAUUACAGAGUUUUUGCCCGCAAGGGUAGAUCUCCCACCCUAUGUUAUUCCUUCUCUGUUGCUUUGGCGGGCCGUCCGGCCUCGGUCAGGCCACCGGCUCCGGCUGGUGCGCGCCCGCCAGAGGACCCCAAACCCUAAAUGUCAGUGUCGUCUGAGUACUAUAUAAUAGUUAAAACUUUCAACAACGGAUCUCUUGGUUCUG
Molecule: unclassified non-coding RNA, 229 nt
Filed under: plant metagenome
Description: partial contains small subunit ribosomal RNA, internal transcribed spacer 1, and 5.8S ribosomal RNA
Source: RNAcentral